GCGAUCUUAGUUUAAAAAAAAUUGUAGUUUGUCUCAUUACAGAUGGUGUGUACCAGGUUGCU
RNAcentral lists this transfer RNA (62 nucleotides) under Spongiobothrium variabile. RNAcentral describes it as "tRNA-Asp". RNAcentral also lists the same sequence under 1 other name. Lineage: Eukaryota; Metazoa; Platyhelminthes; Cestoda; Rhinebothriidea; Rhinebothriidae. The record is from RNAcentral.